This 1207-nucleotide long non-coding RNA is filed under the name Delphinapterus leucas (beluga whale). RNAcentral describes it as "lncRNA (ENSDLEG00000005131.1)". Lineage: Eukaryota; Metazoa; Chordata; Mammalia; Artiodactyla; Monodontidae. The record is from RNAcentral.
AGGUCUGUGUUCAUUGUUAACAAUAAUAGGUGUAAAAAGCUAUAUUUCAAAUAUACUUUUUGUAAGAACUUUUUAAUUUGAGAGAAUUUUAGAUUUACAGAAGAAUUGCUAAGAUAGAAUGAAGAAUUCCCAUGUACCCUUCACUGCAACUUCCUUUAAUGUGGACGUCUGAUAUAACCGCAGUAAAUCCAUCACAACUAAAAAAAUAAAGUAUUAUUAACUAUAGACUUUAUCUGAAUUUCUCCAGCUCUUCCAUUAUUGCCCUUUUUUUCUGUUCCAGGAUACCAUGUCACCAAGAGUCAGCAGCCAAUGCCACGUAAUAGUUUUGUGAAGAUUUGUUUAGUUAAAACUAGAUGACACUGUUUGGCAUUCCAGUUCACCAAGAAGAGCUCACUGCAAGUGUUACAAGAUGCUGAAAGCAGGGGUGGCUUUGUCCCUUUCUUUCCUGCUGUGGAAUCAGGACUCUGUUUUCCACUGGACCGGAAAUAAGGAAAGAAAUGAAAGCAGAUCCACAAGCCAGGUCUGGUUUUAAUCAGAGUCUAAUCUUUAUGAGACAACACAAGGCUGAGAAUUUUUUAAUCUGAUAUUUUGAAAGAAAAAUCCGUGUUCCAAAAUGAUACAAACCAACGAGCCUUAGAAGAACGAUGGAGAAAAGAAAUCUCUUGCAUAAAAGAGAAGCAGGAAAUUCCAGAGAAGUUUCACAGUGAGGAGGGGAAAACCCAAGGUCUGUAUCGCUAUUUAUGGUCUUAUUUCUUCGUACAGGGUAAUAAUCUGGUUUUGUUGAACAACCAAAAUUCAGUUUAGAGGGAAUCACAGCAUUCUGUCUCCCUGAAGUGAGAACAUAACUGAACAUAUUACAGACCCACUCUGUGUCCCAUGAUCCAUUGGCCCUUUAGAUAAAUAUUUCGUCCUCUUCAGGGACUCUUCCCAUUGUGGUCAUAGAUCCAUCUCAUAUUAGAUGAUUUAAUACCUUAGUAAUUUGGAGCGUCUCUGUAGACAUUGCUGAACUUUUUAUAUUUUCAUGUACAUUCCACGGAUUGGGGGCAAAAGUUCUGAUUGGCAGGACUUCAGGGUGAGUUGUUGAAAUUUAUAAUCAUUUUCAUAUAAUGCUCGGCUAGAGUGGGGAUAGUAAAAUCUCAAUCUUCCAAUAAGCUGCAAAACUAUUAAUGGAUUUCUAGGUCAUGUUGUUCAGGGUUAACACUCAGUG